RNAcentral lists this ribosomal RNA (484 nucleotides) under uncultured bacterium. RNAcentral's name for it is "partial 16S ribosomal RNA". It matches the Rfam family "Bacterial small subunit ribosomal RNA", at positions 29 to 507 of the family's 1533-position model. The record is from RNAcentral.
AGUGAACGCUGGCGGCAGGCCUAACACAUGCAAGUCGAGCGGCAGCACGGUAAUUGCUCGUUCUUUCGGGGGGCGACGGGCGGGUGAUGCAUGAGAAUAUGCCUGUCUAUUGGUUAUAACGUCCGGACGUGGGCACUCAUACCGCAAUACCGCAUACGGCCUACGGGUGAAAUCAUCGGAUCUUCCGACCUUGCGUGAGUCUAGGACGGAUUAGCUAGUUGGCGGGGUAAAGGCCUACCAAGGCGACGAUCCGUAGCUGGUCUGAGAGGAUGAUCAGCCACACUGGAACUGAGACACGGUCCAGACUCCUACGGGAGGCAGCAGUGGGGAAUAUUGGACAAUGGGCGCAAGCCUGAUCCAGCCAUACCGCGUGGGUGAAGAAGGCCUUCGGGUUGUAAAGCCCUUUUGUUGGGGAAGAAAAGCAGCAAGCUAAUACCCCGCUGUUCUGACGGUACCAAAAGAAUAAGCACCGGCUAACUUCGUG